Molecule: ribosomal RNA, 399 nt
Filed under: uncultured bacterium
Lineage: Bacteria
Description: bacterial SSU rRNA
Rfam family: Bacterial small subunit ribosomal RNA
Source: RNAcentral
CUGGUCUUGACAUCCUGGGAACCCUGAAGAGAUUCGGGGGUGCCGCAAGGAGCCCAGAGACAGGUGCUGCAUGGCUGUCGUCAGCUCGUGUCGUGAGAUGUUGGGUUAAGUCCCGCAACGAGCGCAACCCUUGUCCUUAGUUGCCAGCAUUUAGUUGGGCACUCUAAGGGGACUGCCGGUGAUAAGCCGAGAGGAAGGUGGGGAUGACGUCAAGUCCUCAUGGCCCUUACGGGCUGGGCUACACACGUGCUACAAUGGUGGUGACAGUGGGCAGCGAGCACGCGAGUGUGAGCUAAUCUCCAAAAGCCAUCUCAGUUCGGAUUGCACUCUGCAACUCGAGUGCAUGAAGUUGGAAUCGCUAGUAAUCGCGGAUCAGCAUGCCGCGGUGAAUACGUUCCC